UCGUGAAAAAGGACUCCGUUGCCAAGGAACUAUUUUUCUCCAUCGUCGUUUCAGAGCUGCUUUUGGAAGCGGAAGGAGAUAGAGGAUUUAGAAUGUGUUGUAUACACCUGCGUAUUGUCAGCGCCUGCGUGUUGUCAUGGGAACCUGGCGGGGGCGGAGGUCUGGGGGCCUGAGGACCAGGCCACGCCCCCUGAGGGAAGAGGAGGAGUUACAAGCGCCAAGAGUGGAGCAAAGCUGCAGCGGGACUCCAUGGUGGCUCUGCAGCAGCGCCUCAGGAAACCGGGGCUCCUGAGGACGGAGCUCCCCGACUCGGAAUCAGAUCGGACUCGGUGCGCCUUGAGACACGCUGAGCAAGCCUUCCUCCGCGUGCUUUGCCUGGUCCUGGCCCCGAUGAACUGAGACUGCAACACCUGGGGUGCGAAAACCACCUGACCACAACAAAGGCUGAACAAACUCGGGAUGGGAAGGAGUUCUCUGCCAAGGUUCUCGUCAGACUCCCCGUGGCGCUGCGGACACGCUUUGAAACUCCUCGGGGAAUUCUUUCAGUUUUCAAGUCGGGUCGUUAAUGACCACCAAGCACAAGAGACGUCUUUUAACUCCCACCUGGGCUUCCGCGCUCACCAGCAGCAAGUGGGCCCUGACCACCCGGCUGCUGCCCCGGACGGCAGAGGGGACGCCCGUCAGACUUGAGUGCCACCUGAAGGGCCGGCCUGCGACGAAUGCAGGUGGGGACGGCUCCACCUGGCCCAAGGACAACUGCGCUAGGUCCCAACCUCACCUUUGGGGUGCCAGCCUGACACGGAACCGCGACAGCUCACUUUGAAAGAAUAAUCCCUUGUGGGGCCGGGACUGCAGCUCACACGGGUGAACGCAGGGCGUCUCCGAAAAGCACCUCCCGGGACGGACAUGGGGCCCUGCCGUUUUGGGGGAUCGCUCCCCCGCCGCAGCCUUCGACUCCGUCCAGAGAGGACGGGAAGCGGGGGGAACCGAGCUCUGCCUCCUUCAUCUUUCUGGUCCUACUGACGGAAGACCCUCCGACGUGCGAGCACACCUUCACUCCCACCGCCCUGGCUUUAACGGCAAGUGGUCUGCUUGCACAAGUGCCCGAGAGAAAACACACUCGCCUCACCGAGCCAGUCCUCACCGUCCCGCUCCCUAACGCUCGGCCUUGACUCCACUUGGUGUUUUGUUCCAGCAGCUAUUCACAACCCAAUCAAAACCCCAAUCCUGGCCAUUUUCUUCAGCGACCCCAAGACUCGAGUCCCUUCGACAGCCUUUCAGAAGUUCUUAAUUUGAGGUUCCCACCUCCCCUAAAACUUGAAGUAAUCCUGUAUAUUUAUGUAUACGUUUUUGAGGUGGUUUCAUUGCUUUCAUAUUCAUAUUCAUAUUUUUAGUGAUCUAUGACACUAAAAAACUUCAGAACCAUUAGUCUAUUCCAUUUUACAAAUCUUUUUCGAGUUCUUUACCUAGAUAAACUAAAAGAGACCAUUUCUCCAUCAAUCAGUAACACUUGAACAUCUCAAUGUUGGGUUAGUAAGCCCCCAGAAGGUCCACCCAUCACCUCUCCCUACACGUCAAGGCUAACCGACCAGGGCUAGAGGUUACGUUGUCUCAUAUAAAGGGAUUCCAAGAGACGGCAAGGAAAGGAGAGCCACGGAUGCCUGCCAAACCGGUAUGCAUGCCCCCCCACAUGACGUCUGUGCUCAGCCCAUCGAGAGGCGGGGUCUGCUUCUCCCCCUUUGAGUCUAGGCCGGGCCAUGUGACCUGCUCUGGCCAACAAUGAGCAAACACGGCCCAGAAGGGGCUCCAAAAGCACGUGCACACCAGGUUAGCCCUCUCUUGCGGCCGGGCACCCUGAGGCCAGCACAGGAAGCGGCCCGGCCAGCCCCUGGAGGACGAGGCCCCAGCUGUCCCAGCAGCCAUCCCAGUUUUGCGAGCGAGGCCGUCCUGGCCCAGCUUAACCAACUAGUCCCAGUUAAGUGACUCCAGACCAAAAGACUCAGCCAGCUAACUGACAGAGUUAUGAGAAAUAAUACAUUAUUUUUAAGAAGUUACUAAGUUGGGUGAUUUGUUACACAGUACAAACUAGUUAAGUAUUAAUUAAGCAGCCGAAGGAAAACCCA
Molecule: long non-coding RNA, 2123 nt
Organism: Phyllostomus hastatus (greater spear-nosed bat)
Lineage: Eukaryota; Metazoa; Chordata; Mammalia; Chiroptera; Phyllostomidae
Exons: 3
Source: RefSeq, a predicted model, not a curated record